Molecule: non-coding RNA, 45 nt
Filed under: Schistosoma mattheei
Lineage: Eukaryota; Metazoa; Platyhelminthes; Trematoda; Strigeidida; Schistosomatidae
Source: RNAcentral
GUCCAGCUGAAGAGUUCCAAAUAGGAGGAAACGCGAGUUCCGGGU